This is a long non-coding RNA of Erinaceus europaeus (western European hedgehog), 1452 nucleotides long. RefSeq lists it as uncharacterized. NCBI's taxonomy places the organism in Eukaryota, Metazoa, Chordata, Mammalia, Eulipotyphla, Erinaceidae. The transcript has 4 exons. The record is from RefSeq and is a predicted model, not a curated record.
CGGAGGGUAGAUCCCCCUUCCAGCUUCAUUUAAGGGGUGAAACCCAAUUAGCACCAAAGCCAUCUGGGUGGAUGCAGGUGGGUUAAUUGCACAAAACAGAAUUACUGGAAGAGACUGAUUUUGCCGGCAAGUGACUUAAGUUUCCCUCUGUAGCUUUAGCAUUGGGAAAGGAAGGUUCCUCCCUCCUCCUUAGCUGGAGGGCGGAGAAAGGUUAUCAGUUGCUCCGGGAGGCUGGAGCACACUGUCAAUUUAGGGUGACUGGCAGAGGGGGCGCAGUAGGUGCUUGGGCUCCCAUCCUGGUGCUAUUACGAGUUGGUUUCCUUCACCCCCUCCUGGAAGGUUGGGCCUUUGCCUGAAUCUGUUGCUGCUGCUCCCCUUGCUACCGCUGACACUUGAAGCCGCCGCCUCUGCACAGCAGCCAGACGUCCGGUCCGGGACCUUCCUCACUGCCCGCAGAGGAUGCAGGGAAAACCGCCUGACAUCAUGAGAGCGGGACAAACGCUCACUUUGAAGGAUUCCUGGGCAGGACUUCAAGUGAAAUCAUAUGCCUGAGAAGAACUUGAUACCGGUCUAGAGAAAAUAACCAGUUCUGAGUUUGCCAAACCAUGGAAUGUGCAAAAUGCUCUACUUUUUUGCAAGAGGCCAACCGUCCUUUAAAAACUCCAUUAUGAAUAUGAGCCUCAGGACUGAAGGAGCGAGAAGCUUGUGCCCUUGUUGAGUAUGGGAAAAAAGUGCACAGAGUGUUUGCUCCUGAAGAUAUAAGCAAGAGGUAACUAAUCUGUUAAGUUUUUGCUGCUUGAGGACCUGAUGAGAGAGGAAGAUGCUGCCAAGCCCACUGAACACCAACCUGAGAUAAUAAUAAAGCUGUCGUUGACAAUAACAUGCCUGUAUCUGUCAGUUGCUAGUUUGAGUUUUUAGCAGCUUUACUUAUGCCAACUCCCUCCUAGGUGCCUCUGGAGUUAAACAAGCAAGUAUUUACCUCCAAUCCUGAGCUUUUAAAAAUAUAGACCAAACUCUUAAGGUUCUUAAAAUUUUCAAACAUAUUUAUUUAUUGCAGAAAAAUAAUAUACAAAGAUAUUUACAAAACAAUCAUAAAAAUAUGAAUGCAUUUAGACACCGGAUCUAUUUGCAUUUUACCAUGGGUCAUCAAUAAAUAAAUAGAAUGUUGUUUUUUUUUGUAUUUUAAGUUUUUUUCCCUCAGAGGAAGAAUGAAAAAGGGAGUUAACUGAUUAUGAUUUUGCAAGUCAGUUUAAUCCCAGUAUUAUUCUUUUUUAUUUCUAAAGAUGUUCUUAGAAUCCCUCUGAUUUAUACCAUUUUAAAAUGGAGAAAAGUCCAUAAUGAUGCCUUUCCUUUCAGUGGCUGAUUGGCACGACCUCUUGAGAAUGCAUGCACGAAAAAAAAAACAAAAAACAUUCUUCGUCAAAAAACAAAAGAAAAAAGAAAGACAAACAA